RNAcentral lists this ribosomal RNA (1066 nucleotides) under Francisella tularensis. RNAcentral describes it as "bacterial SSU rRNA". It matches the Rfam family "Bacterial small subunit ribosomal RNA", at positions 194 to 1244 of the family's 1533-position model. Lineage: Bacteria; Pseudomonadati; Pseudomonadota; Gammaproteobacteria; Thiotrichales; Francisellaceae. The record is from RNAcentral.
CUGUGGAUUAAAGGUGGCUUUCGGGCUGUCGCAGAUGGAUGAGCCUGCGUUGGAUUAGCUAGUUGGUGGGGUAAGGGCCCACCAAGGCUACGAUCCAUAGCUGAUUUGAGAGGAUGAUCAGCCACAUUGGGACUGAGACACGGCCCAAACUCCUACGGGAGGCAGCAGUGGGGAAUAUUGGACAAUGGGGGCAACCCUGAUCCAGCAAUGCCAUGUGUGUGAAGAAGGCCCUAGGGUUGUAAAGCACUUUAGUUGGGGAGGAAAGCCUCAAGGUUAAUAGCCUUGGGGGAGGACGUUACCCAAAGAAUAAGCACCGGCUAACUCCGUGCCAGCAGCCGCGGUAAUACGGGGGGUGCAAGCGUUAAUCGGAAUUACUGGGCGUAAAGGGUCUGUAGGUGGUUUGUUAAGUCAGAUGUGAAAGCCCAGGGCUCAACCUUGGAACUGCAUUUGAUACUGGCAAACUAGAGUACGGUAGAGGAAUGGGGAAUUUCUGGUGUAGCGGUGAAAUGCGUAGAGAUCAGAAGGAACACCAAUGGCGAAGGCAACAUUCUGGACCGAUACUGACACUGAGGGACGAAAGCGUGGGGAUCAAACAGGAUUAGAUACCCUGGUAGUCCACGCUGUAAACGAUGAGUACUAGCUGUUGGAGUCGGUGUAAAGGCUCUAGUGGCGCAGCUAACGCGAUAAGUACUCCGCCUGGGGACUACGGCCGCAAGGCUAAAACUCAAAGGAAUUGACGGGGACCCGCACAAGCGGUGGAGCAUGUGGUUUAAUUCGAUGCAACGCGAAGAACCUUACCUGGUCUUGACAUCCUGCGAACUUUCUAGAGAUAGAUUGGUGCCUUCGGGAACGCAGUGACAGGUGCUGCACGGCUGUCGUCAGCUCGUGUUGUGAAAUGUUGGGUUAAGUCCCGCAACGAGCGCAACCCCUAUUGAUAGUUACCAUCAUUAAGUUGGGUACUCUAUUAAGACUGCCGCUGACAAGGCGGAGGAAGGUGGGGACGACGUCAAGUCAUCAUGGCCCUUACGACCAGGGCUACACACGUGCUACAAUGGGUAUUACAGAG